UACAGAGGUCUCAAGCGUUGUUCGGAUUCAUUGGGCGUAAAGGGUGCGUAGGUGGCGCCGUAAGUCAGGUGUGAAAUUUCGGAGCUUAACUCCGAAACUGCAUUUGAUACUGCGGUGCUUGAGGACUGGAGAGGAGACUGGAAUUUACGGUGUAGCAGUGAAAUGCGCAGAUAUCAGGAGGAACACCGAUGGCGAAGGCAGCUCACUGGGACGGUACUGACGCUGAGGCGCGAAAGCGUGGGGAGCAAACAGG
RNAcentral lists this ribosomal RNA (253 nucleotides) under uncultured bacterium. Its description in RNAcentral is "partial 16S ribosomal RNA". It matches the Rfam family "Bacterial small subunit ribosomal RNA", at positions 524 to 776 of the family's 1533-position model. The record is from RNAcentral.